Long non-coding RNA from Neocloeon triangulifer, 1746 nucleotides. RefSeq lists it as uncharacterized. The transcript has 6 exons. NCBI's taxonomy places the organism in Eukaryota, Metazoa, Arthropoda, Insecta, Ephemeroptera, Baetidae. The record is from RefSeq and is a predicted model, not a curated record.
UUAACCUCCUCCACUUUGGUCCACCCCUGGUGCAGCCCUGCCAGGGUGGCGCGUGGGAAUUUUGCUUCCGACGCGCCUUCGUGGACCUUCGAGGCCUGGGGCACCUCCGGCAAGGCGCCGUCCAACCGCCAACGGACGCUGCGUUGCUCGAGGUGCUCCGACCUCAACUCAUUUUUUCUUCUGCCACUUCUCUUGAAUUUUUAUGAGGACAUUUUGUGUUGCUUUGCCUCUUUUUUCUGACUUCAGAGCGACCAGGAAGUGCAAUCCUGUGACCAAAAUGUGAAUAUCGGCUGACCUGUGCAACAAUCUGGAGAUUUUUACGAGACUCCUCUGCCUUGCAAGCCAAUGGAGUGUAGAAAGAGGAAGCACCGGCAACCGGAUCUGCUUGAGGCCUGGCCAGGAAACCGACCAAGCAAGAAACGUCAGGCUGCAGUGGACGCCAAGGGGGCCAUCGACUAAUGCCUCAGGAUGGGGGCCAAUGUGGCCUUCUCAACUGGCUCGACGGUCACCCACGAACAAGGAAAUGGUUCGAUUAGGAUUACCCUUCCUGCAGGUUAAAAGCAGCUACUACUGGAAAGGCAACUAUAGCUCCAGCAUGCUCAAAGUGCGUUGUGUUUUUCACACGAUGCUGCCAGUUUCCAGUUCUACGCCUCGGUUGACUCUUUUGCACUUGCUGCCCUCUUUUGCCACUUCUGAUUUUGUCGCAGUCACUUUUGUCAAUUAAAAAAGAACCCUGUCAGUAUUUACUAAGGGCAGUUUUGCCUCCCGACUCAGUCAGCAGAAGCUUUCCCUUCAAUUGCCCAUCGGAAGCACCUUCGAUUUAAUUGCAUGCGGAGUCGCCCGAUAAUAUCUGCUUGUUGGCACUACAGCUGAAAAUUAUUUGUAAAAAAUUUAUAUAAAUCAACUUUGAGUGUGGUUUUAUAACUCGUCAACAAAUUCUGUAUGUAGGGCAAAAAGAAAAAAAAUUUUGUGGGGUGUUUUUAUUUAUCACCUGGGCAAAGGUCAAGGGACGAUGAGCCCCAUAAAAUCUCUUAAAUAUUGUUAGAAAUUUUUAAUGGUUCAUUUUCAUAAGACAUAUGGAAGACUCAAUCAAACAUACUGCUGCGCUUUGAAAGGUUGCUUGUGUUGCAAGUUGGUUUGGCCGAAAUUUUUUUAAAUAGGAAAUACAGAAAUUAGAACCUUUUUUAAUAUACUUAUCUCUAUAUAAAUCGUCCGGCUAGCGAUAUCAAUUUGGUGGGGCUAAGGGUAUUUAACAUUGCUUGUGUUGGUCAUGACCAAGUGUUUAUGACCAAGAUUGAUGAUAGGAGACCAGUCUAUUGCGCAAAUAACUCCAGCUAGAAGCAAAUUGCUGUGGUAAGUGCUAUUCGAGGAUGCUGCCGUGUCACCUAUUAAUGUGCGCCAUGUAGACAAACGUCACUGGUUGUAAGGCCAUCAUGAAACAAUUAUCUAAAAGUGCACCAAUUAUAUAUUUACAUCGCUUGUAGUUCAGUAAAAUGGUUAGUUUGAAAUGAUAAAUUAGAGGCUUCCUAAAUAAUUGCCACAUAAAAAAUUGCGCUUUAUAAAAAUUGUUCAAUUGUAACUAAAAACUCAAAUAAUUUAUCUAAUUCCGUUCUAAUACUUCGAAUGAUGCAAGUGCAAUAUGUGAAAUUUUCAAAGUAAAGUUCGACUAUGUCAAAUUAAUUAGCAUUUUAUAGAUAAAUUUAUUGCUCUUGUUAUGAUAAAUUUGUAAAGAGUAAAUUAGGCAUA